Non-coding RNA from Caenorhabditis elegans, 432 nucleotides. The record is from Ensembl. Lineage: Eukaryota; Metazoa; Nematoda; Chromadorea; Rhabditida; Rhabditidae.
CUUCAUUUCAUCUGUUUCCUCAUCCCGCAACAAAUCUCUGUAAGCAUCAAAUAGUCAACGAGUACUUGUUGUAGAACCGGCAUCAUCCUUCGGUGCGCUGCUAGGCCUUCAAUAUAAUUGCGCACACAAACACACACACAUACUCCCCCACACAAGUCACUCUCAUUCUCUCAUUCCCUCGACAUCCAAGAGUUUUUUCAUCGCACCUCAAUGACGGCUGGAAGCAGAAGCCAAUGAGUGAGUGAGGCAAGAAAAAGAAGAUGAAGCAGAAGAAGAAGAAGCGGGGGAGAAGGUGGUGGUGGCCAAAAACGGAGGGACGCUCGGACUUAAUUUUCAAACAACCUGGCGGCGAAGAAAACGACAUUUUCCAGAUUGCACGACCCAUUCACAAUUGUUCUAAUUUUGCGUCAUGUAUUUAUCGUCCCGUCGUUG